AAAGACCUUGCCAUAGGCUUGCUUAGAUUAUCUACUUAAAGGUCAAAGUUUUGCUAUGCAUGCUAACUAAGGAAACAAACAAAAAUCAUCUCUAAAUCUAAAGAUGUUGUUUCCAUCUCUAAGUCUUCAAAAGCUUACAUUGGAUUUGUUCUUGGAGAAUAAAACUGAAGUAUUUUUCUAUAUUUACUAAAUCUUGUAGAAGCGUUUCAAAUGAAAAAGGUUUCCAAACUGUGAAGAUCAUGGCACAGUGUUGAAAACCAAAAUCCUGAUUAAGGUUAUACAGAAAAUAAUAUUAAAUUCAAUUAUUUCAGCUCCAUGGACAUCAUAAGUAAAAAAAAAGGGUCAAUAGAAUUCUUGAAGAAAUGAAAAAGACAAUUAUGUAUGAUAGUCAUCUACUUAAAUAAUUUUUAAAAGACUAUCAUCACUGCUUGUCAUACAUAUGAUUUCUAUUAUAUCUAUUUUUGAUGAAAACUCCUUUUGAUCUUCUGAAAAAUAGAAAAUAAA
This 504-nucleotide long non-coding RNA is filed under the name Phoenix dactylifera (date palm). RNAcentral describes it as "long non-coding RNA (PDAC_LNC019375)". Lineage: Eukaryota; Viridiplantae; Streptophyta; Magnoliopsida; Arecales; Arecaceae. The record is from RNAcentral.